Archocentrus centrarchus (flier cichlid) is the source of this 375-nucleotide non-coding RNA. The record is from the annotation of a RefSeq genome assembly. Lineage: Eukaryota; Metazoa; Chordata; Actinopteri; Cichliformes; Cichlidae.
AUGACUUUGAUCUGCGUCCUCAUCUGGACUCUCCUCUGCUGCUGCUUCACAGAGUCCAGAGGACAAUACACAGUGACUCAGCCUGGAUCAGUGAGCUCUGCUGUGGGAGGAUCUGUGACCAUCAAGUGUAGGACCAGUCAUAGGGUAGAUGAUGGAGUGGACCUUUCUUGGUACCAACAGAAAGAUGGAGGAGUUCCCAAACUUCUCAUUUAUCAUGUUAGCAGUCGGGCAUCAGGGAUUCCAGCUCGUUUUACAGGCAGUGGAUCAAACUCUGACUUCACUCUGACCAUCAGUGGAGUCCAGGCUGAAGAUGCAGCAGUUUAUUACUGUAAGAGUUGGCACUAUCCUAACAGUCAGUGGGUGUUCACACAGUGA